UACGUAGGGUGCUAGCGUUGUUCGGAAUCACUGGGCGUAAAGGGAGUGUAGGCGGGGUCGUAAGUUAGGAGUUUAAUGCAUGGGCUUAACCCAUGAUCUGCUUUUAAUACUGCGAUUCUUGAGUAUGGGAGAGGGCGAUGGAAUUCCAGGUGUAGCGGUGGAAUGCGUAGAUAUCUGGAAGAACACCAGUAGCGAAGGCGGUCGCCUGGCCCAAUACUGACGCUGAUGCUCGAAAGCUAGGGGAGCAAACAGG
This 253-nucleotide ribosomal RNA is filed under the name uncultured bacterium. RNAcentral's name for it is "partial 16S ribosomal RNA". It matches the Rfam family "Bacterial small subunit ribosomal RNA", at positions 524 to 776 of the family's 1533-position model. The record is from RNAcentral.